AGCUUUGCGCAGUGGCAGUAUCGUAGCCAAUGGGGUUUAUCCGAGGUGCAAUUAUUGCUAAUUAAAAAAAAUUAUUCAGACAUAGGGUUUCUCCUAGUGGUAGUCUAUGACAGAUGUCAAUUACUGUGAUAAGAUGCUUGUAAACAAG
Molecule: small nuclear RNA, 148 nt
Organism: Callorhinus ursinus (northern fur seal)
Lineage: Eukaryota; Metazoa; Chordata; Mammalia; Carnivora; Otariidae
Product: U4 spliceosomal RNA
Source: RefSeq, a predicted model, not a curated record